RNAcentral lists this ribosomal RNA (490 nucleotides) under uncultured bacterium. Its description in RNAcentral is "partial 16S ribosomal RNA". It matches the Rfam family "Bacterial small subunit ribosomal RNA", at positions 30 to 507 of the family's 1533-position model. The record is from RNAcentral.
AUUGAACGCUGGCGGCAGGCCUAACACAUGCAAGUCGAACGGUAACAGGGAUCAGCUUGCUGAUUCGCUGACGAGUGGCGGACGGGUGAGUAAUGUCUGGGAAACUGCCUGAUGGAGGGGGAUAACUACUGGAAACGGUAGCUAAUACCGCAUAACGUCGCAAGACCAAAGAGGGGGACCUUCUGGCCUCUUGCCAUCGCACGCGCCCUGAUGGGAUUAGCUAGUAGGUGGGGUAACGGCUCACCGAGGCGACGAUCCCUAACUGGACUGAGGGGGUGAACAGCCACUGUGGAACUGAGACACGGUCCUGACUCCUACGGGAGGCAGCAGUGGGGAAUAUUGGACGAUGUGCGCAAGCCUGAUGCAGCCAUGCCGCGUGUAUGAAGAAGGCCUUCGGGUUGUAAAGUACUUUCAGCGGUGAGGAAGGGAGUAAAGUUAAUACCUUUGCUCAUUGACGUUACCCGCAGAAGAAGCACCGGCUAACUCCGUG